UUAAAGUGGCACGCGAGCUGGGUUCAGAACGUCGUGAGACAGUUCGGUCCCUAUCUGUUGUGGGCGCUGGAAGUUUGAGAGGACCUGACUCUAGUACGAGAGGACCGAGUCGGACGUACCUCUAGUGUACCUGUUGUGGCGCCAGCUGCAUCGCAGGGUAGCUACGUACGGUUGAGAUAAGCGCUGAAAGCAUCUAAGCACGAAACUCGCCUCAAGAUGAGACUUCCUUUAAGGGUCGUCAGAGACUAUGACGUUGAUAGGUUGCAAGUGUAAAGACAGUAAUGUCAAAGCUGAGCAAUACUAAUUACCCGUAGACUUUUUAUC
This 324-nucleotide ribosomal RNA is filed under the name Bacteroidia bacterium. RNAcentral's name for it is "partial 23S ribosomal RNA". It matches the Rfam family "Bacterial large subunit ribosomal RNA", at positions 2588 to 2925 of the family's 2925-position model. The record is from RNAcentral. Lineage: Bacteria; Pseudomonadati; Bacteroidota; Bacteroidia.